GAAAAUAUUUGAAGCAACUGCUUGUGUAAGAACAAAUAGCACAAGACACAUGAAGGUAACAAAAUACGAAAUACACCUAUGCACCCAUUCAUUGGGCGCAAAGUCACACCCCACGGUGCGCGUCGACUGCAUCCGCCUGGCCAAAAGUCAGCCAAAGAGUGGCGGUCGCGCUUCACUGCACCGCUGAGCAAAGCGGAGCAGCAGUUGCUUUAAUGACUACCAAAUAACCAACCAAAACUGAGUCGAUUGCAAGAAUUUCAAUGCCAGCUGCGGUUCGGUGAUGCGUGUCAAGUCCGAAGAGGUUUGCUGUGAUUUCCCAGGCUAGACUGACUUGGUUUAGAAUUGCGCUGGUGAUUGCCACGUGGUAUUCUGGCUGCGUCGUGUGCGGGCCAAGUGUUGGCGUAUUCAUUUGCCUAAUGAUCCAGCAGGUUGAACAUUGGUCAAAUGCUCAGCUGGUCAAUUGGCUGACUGGUUAUGUGGCCAACACCCGCGACCACUUUGUGGUAGAAUUCGCUAUAAUUAUGUUGUUUUACAGCUAGUGCAAUUAAUUAAACAUGAUUUGCUUAUGAAUAUGGAUUGUCGAACUGCAAGAUAAACGACUGCACGCAACACCUGCCGUAUAAUACGUUGGCAACAACUUCUCAAAAAUGUAUUUAUAUCCCAAAUAAACGAUUACUUUUGAUAGCUACAAA
Molecule: long non-coding RNA, 692 nt
Organism: Drosophila virilis
Lineage: Eukaryota; Metazoa; Arthropoda; Insecta; Diptera; Drosophilidae
Source: RefSeq, a predicted model, not a curated record